UGAGGAAUAUUUGGCAAUGCCCGCAAGGGUGACCCAGCAACGCCGCGUGGAGGAUGAAUGUCGUAAGAUUGUAAACUCCUGUUAGAGGGGAAGAAUAGUACCGGUUGGACCGGUAUAUGACUGUACCCUCAGAGAAAGCCCCGGCUAACUACGUGCAGCAGCCGCGGUAAUACGUAGGGGGCAAACGUUGUCCGGAUUUACUGGGUGUAAAGGGCGCGCAGGCGGGAUAAAAAGGCAGUGGUGAAAUCCUACAGCUUAACUGUAAAACUGCCUGUGAUACUUUUAUUCUUGAGUUCGGGAGAGAGAGACGGAAUUCCAGGUGUAGUGGUGAAAUACGUAGAUAUCUGGAAGAACACCAGUUGCGAAGGC
This 369-nucleotide ribosomal RNA is filed under the name uncultured bacterium. RNAcentral's name for it is "bacterial SSU rRNA". It matches the Rfam family "Bacterial small subunit ribosomal RNA", at positions 355 to 722 of the family's 1533-position model. The record is from RNAcentral.